UUGACACUGAGUGAGUCUGCGUCUGUCAGUGAGUGAGUAAAUGUGUGUAAGUGUCUUGUCAGUGCGUAUGCGUGUGUCAGUUAAUGUGUCUGUCGGUGAAUGUGAGUGUGCCUGUAUGUUUGUCAGUGAGUGGGUAUGUUUCAGUGAACGUGUAUGUUGGUUAAACAGUGUGUGUGACAAUGACUGUAUCUGUCAGUGAGUGUAUGCAUCAGUGAAGGUGUGUGACUGUUAGGCAAAGAGUGUGUUGGUUUUUAACAGGAAGUGAAAUUUAGAAGGGGG
Molecule: non-coding RNA, 279 nt
Organism: Pelobates cultripes (western spadefoot toad)
Lineage: Eukaryota; Metazoa; Chordata; Amphibia; Anura; Pelobatidae
Source: the annotation of a GenBank genome assembly